This 539-nucleotide ribosomal RNA is filed under the name uncultured bacterium. Its description in RNAcentral is "partial 16S ribosomal RNA". It matches the Rfam family "Bacterial small subunit ribosomal RNA", at positions 355 to 893 of the family's 1533-position model. The record is from RNAcentral.
UGGGGAAUAUUGCACAAUGGGCGCAAGCCUGAUGCAGCCAUGCCGCGUGUGUGAAGAAGCCUUCGGUUGUAAAGCACUUCAGCGAGGAGGAAGGUGGUGAACUUAAUACGUUCAUCAAUUGACGUUACUCGCAGAAGAAGCACCGGCUAACUCCGUGCCAGCAGCCGCGGUAAUACGGAGGGUGCAAGCGUUAAUCGGAAUUACUGGGCGUAAACGCACGCAGGCGGUUUGUUAAGUCAGAUGUGAAAUCCCCGGGCUCAACCUGGGAACUGCAUUUGAAACCGGCAAGCUAGAGUCUCGUAGAGGGGGGUAGAAUUCCAGGUGUAGCGGUGAAAUGCGUAGAGAUCUGGAGGAAUACCGGUGGCGAAGGCGGCCCCCUGGACGAAGACUGACGCUCAGGUGCGAAAGCGUGGGGAGCAAACAGAUUAGNUACCCUGGUAGUCACGCUGUAAACGAUGUCGAUUUUGGAGGUUGUGCCCUUGAGGCGUGCUUCCGGAGCUAACGCGUUAAUCGACCGCCUGGGGAGUACGGCCGCAAGG